GACGAACGCUGUCGGCGUGCUUAACACAUGCAAGUCGAGCGGUAAGGCCCUUUCGGGGGUACACGAGCGGCGAACGGGUGAGUAACACGUGGGUGACCUGCCCUCAGCUCUGGGAUAAGCCUGGGAAACCGGGUCUAAUACCGGAUAUGACUCCAUGACGCAUGUUGUGGGGUGGAAAGCCUUGUGCGGCUGAGGAUGGGCCCGCGGCCUAUCAGCUUGUUGGUGGGGUGANGGCCUACCAAGGCGACGACGGGUAGCCGGCCUGAGAGGGCGACCGGCCACACUGGGACUGAGACACGGCCCAGACUCCUACGGGAGGCAGCAGUGGGGAAUCUUGCGCAAUGGGCGAAAGCCUGACGCAGCGACGCCGCGUGAGGGAUGACGGCCU
Molecule: ribosomal RNA, 388 nt
Filed under: uncultured bacterium
Lineage: Bacteria
Description: bacterial SSU rRNA
Rfam family: Bacterial small subunit ribosomal RNA
Source: RNAcentral